GAUGAACGCUGGCGGCGUGCUUAACACAUGCAAGUCGAACGAGAAAUGUAGACGGAAACCUUCGGGCGGAAGCCUUCAUUUCGAGUGGCGGACGGGUGAGUAACGCGUGGGUAACCUGCCUCAUACAGGGGGAUAACAGUUGGAAACGACUGUUAAUACCGCAUAAGACCACAGCAUCGCAUGAUGCGGGGGUAAAAACUCCGGUGGUAUGAGAUGGACCCGCGUUCGAUUAGCCAGAUGGCGGGGUAACGGCCCACCAAAGCGACGAUCGAUAGCCGAUCUGAGAGGAUGACCGGCCACAUUGGGACUGAGACACGGCCCAAACUCCUACGGGAGGCAGCAGUGGGUAAUAUUGCACAAUGGGGGAAACCCUGAUGCAGCGACGCCGCGUGAGUGUAGAAGUACUUCGGUAUGUAAAGCUCUAUCAGCAGGGAAGAAAAUGACGGUACCUGAGUAAGAAGCCCCGGCUAACUACGUG
This 478-nucleotide ribosomal RNA is filed under the name uncultured bacterium. RNAcentral's name for it is "partial 16S ribosomal RNA". It matches the Rfam family "Bacterial small subunit ribosomal RNA", at positions 28 to 507 of the family's 1533-position model. The record is from RNAcentral.